RNAcentral lists this small nuclear RNA (72 nucleotides) under Octodon degus (degu). The record is from RNAcentral. Lineage: Eukaryota; Metazoa; Chordata; Mammalia; Rodentia; Octodontidae.
GUGCUUGCUUCGGCAGCACAUAUACUAAAAUUGGAACGAUACCGAGGAGAUUAGCAUGGCCCCUGCGCAAAG